UUCCGGUUGAUCCUGCCCGACCUGGCUGCCAUCGGAUUGGUAUUAAGCCCUGAGGGGUGGUUGAAGCAAUACAGGGCGGACGGCUCAGUAACACGUAGUCAACCUAACCUAUGGACGUGGAUAACCUCGGGAAACUGAGAAUAAACCGCGAUAGAUCAUUAUGCCUGGAAUGGCUUAUGGUUCAAACAAUUUAUUGCCGUAGGAUGGGACUGCGGCCUAUCAGCUUGUUGGUGAGGUAAUGGCCCACCAAGGCUAUAACAGGUACGGGCUCUGAGAGGAGAAGCCCGGAGAUGGGUACUGAGACACGGACCCAGGCCCUAUGGGGCGCAGCAGGCGAGAAACCUUAGCAAUGUGCGAAAGCACGACUAGGUUAAUCCGAGUGAUUUCUGUUGAAGAAAUCUUUUGUCAGUCGUAAAACCACAGACGAAUAAGGGGUGGGCAAGUCUGGUGUCAGCCGCCGCGGUAAUACCAGCACCUCGAGUGGUCAGGAGGUUUAUUGGGCCUAAAGCAUCCGUAGCCGGCUACGCAAGUCUCCGGUUAAAUCCAGCUGCUCAACAGAUGGGCUGCCGGAGAUACUACAUAGCUAGGGAGCGGGAGAGGUAGACGGUAUUCUGUGGGUAGGGGUAAAAUCCACUGAUCCAUAGAGGACCACCAGUGGCGAAGGCGGUCUACCAGAACGCGUUCGACGGUGAGGGAUGAAAGCUGGGGGAGCAAACCGGAUUAGAUACCCGGGUAGUCCCAGCUGUAAACGAUGCAAACUCGGUGAUGCAUUGGCUUAUGGCCAAUGCCAUGCCCCAAGGAAGCCGUUAAGUUUGUCGCCUGGGAUAUACUGAAGCAAGUCUGAACUUUACACGAAUUGGUGGGGGAGCA
This 870-nucleotide ribosomal RNA is filed under the name uncultured archaeon. RNAcentral's name for it is "bacterial SSU rRNA". It matches the Rfam family "Archaeal small subunit ribosomal RNA", at positions 1 to 878 of the family's 1478-position model. The record is from RNAcentral.